UCGUUUUUCUGCAAAUCAUUCGGCAAACAAACACAAAUGUGCUUAAAAUUACAGCAACAAAACAAAUUGAAAGCCGAGCAGAGGGACACACAUAUAGUACUUCAAAAAAAAAAAGGAAAAACUGAAGUUGCAGAUGACCACCAGCCAUCAAAUAUCAAGGGUUCGCAUCCGCCGAGUGCAGUGAUAUGCAAAAAAGUGCAUGUCACUGCGUUGGCAACGCAACAUGGUCGCGUUCGGGGGUCCAAGUCUAAGGACCACUGCCCUCAUCAUCUACGUCAGUCAUCAUCCGCAAAUGAAAGUCGUCUCACAACGCCAAACUAAUUGGCAUAGCCAGAGUAUCCCAAUGGCUGCUGCUUACCCCACCCUGCCCUGCCCCCACAAGGCACAAGGGGGCAACCAACUUGGGCACAAUGGCUCGAUAAAGAAUUAUCCAUCGAGCGGGAGAAAUGUGGUGCUCUUAAAGUGGACAGCAGCAUUUACCAAACCACUGAGCCGCUGCACCAAGUGCCUGUUCGGGGUCCAAACAUCAAUGCUCGCUGCCUGGAUGCAUCAACACUUCAGUGAGUGCGCCACAGGCUGCGGUUCCUGCUCCUAUUGCUGGUCAGCUUGCUGCGCCUUAAGUAUGGGUUGCAGAGGCGAGGCUGAGCACAAUGGACCACUUCUUCAGUCCUCCCUGGCUGGCACCACAAUUACUUCCAUUUGAUUGAGCAAAGAAGUGCGCGUGGAGUUUUCGCCGCUUUGGUUUCCUUUUUUUUACAGCAAACUGGACACAUUGUUGGGGUGCCUGGAUCUGGGCAGACGGUGGAAGCAUUGGUCAUUCACGGCAUGGGCUGUGUUUAUUACGCUACAUGCUUGAAUGCAUUUCGCUGAUUUCUCCAUAAGCCUGCUGCUGAUGAUGAUGAUGAUGAUGAAGAUACUGAUGCUGAUGCCGAUGCCGAUACGAGUGCAUUGCAGGAGCUUGCAGUUAGCUUGAGCAAGAAAGAUUUACGGCUUCAAAUGAUGAGUGAGUGAGAAUGCGGAGGAAUAAAGCCUGAACUAUAGAGAUUAAUUUUCAGCCGCAAAUUUGAAAUUUUAAAAAUGAUGUUCCUCAAAAUGUCUGCUUUAUGUGAAUAUCAGAGCUUGACUGUAUAUUUUGGACCAAAGAAGAACUAUAUUGCAAAUCGGAACAAAUACUAAUGUGCAUCCCCUAAAAAUAAAUAAUUCAUUUACUGAAGCUGAAGUCAAGGGCAAUUAGGGUAAAACAUAAUUCCGUAUUUAAACUAAAACGAAGCAAUGACAAUAAUAGUUUGGAAACUCUAAUACAAAGUACAACUAUUUUCUUUUAAA
Scaptodrosophila lebanonensis is the source of this 1326-nucleotide RNA transcript. RefSeq lists it as uncharacterized. NCBI's taxonomy places the organism in Eukaryota, Metazoa, Arthropoda, Insecta, Diptera, Drosophilidae. The transcript is spliced from 3 exons. The record is from RefSeq and is a predicted model, not a curated record.